GCUGCUCCGCUUCCGCCAGUCACGCGCUCUCGCGAUUCACCCAACGUGCGAAGCGCCGCCGUCCUCUCACGCACCGCCACCGUGCACACUCUCGCCUCGACCCCUUUUUUAGUGUACGUCUUUCCUCGUUCUCUCUUCGUUUUCUCUCUCUGUGCUGCCGCCUCCCGAGUGAUGGGCCGCCUUGAGAUCCGUGUCUGCGGCGCCCGCAAUGUGGCGAACGUGCAGAAGGUGGGUAAACCCGACCCGUACGUGAAGGUCAAGCUGGGUAGCAAUAAGAAGUCGCAGAUUAAAUACAAGACCCACGUAGCCGAGAACUGCCUUAACCCCGUCUGGAAUGAGCUCUUCAAGUUUCAGGUCGCUGACUACGACUCGAUGCAGGUGGUUUUCGAGCUGUGGAACGACAACGUCAUCGUAGACGACCUCCUCGGAAGCUACAGCCUCUCCCUCAACGGCCUAACCCGCGGCGUCGUCGUCGAUACCUGGGUGCUUCUCGAGGGAACGAAGGGCUCCCCCUCGGAGCUGCACUUGCGCGUCCUCGCUGUCGACUUUGGCCGCGAUCCGGGGCCUGGCGACCGGCUCACCUUAUCGCUCGAGGGGGACACCAUGGUGCCGUCUACGGGCCAGACAUACCGUCCACCGAAGAACUACGUGCCGCCAGCGCAAGGGAUUGUACUGCAGUCGUACCCCCCUGCUCCGCUCGGGCCCCCGCCGCCGGUAGUCUACAGCGCCUCGGCUGCGCCGAUGCCGCAAGUACAGUAUGGCUACAUGGCUCCACCACAACCGCAGGGGUACGCAUACGGUGCUCCUCCCCCACCGCCACAGCAGCCACCUUCACAGGGGUACGGCUACGGCGCUGCUCCGGCGCCGCAAAACUACAGCUAUGGCGCGCCCCCGCCCCCGCAGCCUAUGUAUGGCGCCCCGCAGCCGCCACAGUCUCUACCGUACGCUGCCGGUCCUCCGCCACCCCAGAUGUACGGCCCUCCUCCUCCGCAGCGGCGGCCGGUGCAGAUGGCCUACGGUAUCCCGCCCGACAUGUAAGCGAGGCUGCGGACACAAAGGGAGAAAACGCGCAUCGGCGCCUGCGAAGCGGGUGAAGAGAGGAUCGCCACGUGCGGUUGCCAGCGCAUCUUGCAGCGCCGUUUUACUCCCUCUCUCAUCUCCAUCGGCGAAGUCACGUGGGCCUGAACAUUCGAGCCUUUGUGUGGGCCCUACAUUUUGGUUGCUUGUGUCACCUGCUUCCCUUCUGAUGAUUUGCUGCUUUCCUCCCCUCCUCCUAUCUUUUGUUUGGCGGCACGUCUAGCUUCAGUGUUGCGCGCCGACAACGCGGAAUGCGGCUUUGGGGUUUGAGCUUGUCUCGCUCAUCUCACUUUAUUCUUGUCCUCUCAUGUGUCUCGCGUGUUGCCGGUCUCCCAUCGGCAUGGAUUCCUGUACGGCGGACACGGUUCCAGCGAUCGGGCUCGACUUCUCUUAAUGUGGUGUUUUUUUGUGUUGCAAUCCGCUGUUUUCUUUGGCGUUACUGUCAUGCUGCCGUCUGUGCACCAGUUUGGGUACUUGGAGCCGG
RNAcentral lists this unclassified non-coding RNA (1561 nucleotides) under Leishmania donovani. RNAcentral describes it as "gene:LdHU3.31.1210(CDS-product:c2_domain_protein_ putative)". Lineage: Eukaryota; Euglenozoa; Kinetoplastea; Trypanosomatida; Trypanosomatidae. The record is from RNAcentral.